RNAcentral lists this ribosomal RNA (629 nucleotides) under uncultured bacterium. RNAcentral describes it as "bacterial SSU rRNA". It matches the Rfam family "Bacterial small subunit ribosomal RNA", at positions 8 to 640 of the family's 1533-position model. The record is from RNAcentral.
AGAGUUUGAUCAUGGCUCAGGAUGAACGCUAGCGGGAGGCUUAAUACAUGCAAGUCGAGCGGCAAGGUCUUCGGACCCUAGAGCGGCGCACGGGUGAGUAACGCGUACGCAAUCUGCCCUUCAGUGAGGAAUAGCCCUGGGAAACUGGGAUUAAUACCUCAUAACAUUAUGAUAUCGCAUGAUAUUAUAAUUAAAGUUCUGGCGCUGAAGGAUGAGCGUGCGUCUGAUUAGCUAGUUGGUAGGGUAACGGCCUACCAAGGCUACGAUCAGUAGGGGGCGUGAGAGCGUGACCCCCCACACGGGUACUGAGACACGGACCCGACUCCUACGGGAGGCAGCAGUAAGGAAUAUUGGGCAAUGGAGGCAACUCUGACCCAGCCAUCCCGCGUGAAGGAUUAAGGCCCUAUGGGUUGUAAACUUCUUUUGCUUGGGAAGAAAUCUGGACAUUUAUGUGCAGUUGACGGUACCUUGCGAAUAAGCACCGGCUAACUCCGUGCCAGCAGCCGCGGUAAUACGGAGGGUGCAAGCGUUAUCCGGAAUCACUGGGUUUAAAGGGUGCGUAGGCGGUUUGAUAAGUCAGAGGUGAAAGCUAGCAGCUUAACUGUUAAAUUGCCUUUGAUACUGUCAGA